GACGAACGCUGGCGGCGUGCUUAACACAUGCAAGUCGAACGGAAAGGCCCUGCUUUUGUGGGGUGCUCGGGUGGCGAACGGGUGAGUAACACGUGAGUAACCUGCCCUUGACUUUGGGAUAACUUCAGGAAACUGGGGCUAAUACCGGAUAGGAGCUCCUGCUGCAUGGUGGGGGUUGGAAAGUUUCGGCGGGUGGGGAUGGACUCGCGGCUUAUCCGCUUGUUGGUGGGGUAGUGGCUUACCAAGGCUUAGAGGGGUAGCCGGCCUGAGAGGGUAACCGGCCACAUUGGGACUGAGAUACGGCCCAGACUCCUACGGGAGGCAGCAGUGGGGAAUAUUGCACAAUGGGCGGAAGCCUGAUGCAGCAACGCCGCGUGCGGGAUGACGGCAUUCGGGUUGUAAACCGCUUUCGCCUGUGACGAAGCGUGAGUGACGGUAAUGUGUAAAGAAGCACCGGCUAACUACGUG
This 468-nucleotide ribosomal RNA is filed under the name uncultured bacterium. RNAcentral's name for it is "partial 16S ribosomal RNA". It matches the Rfam family "Bacterial small subunit ribosomal RNA", at positions 28 to 507 of the family's 1533-position model. The record is from RNAcentral.